Molecule: ribosomal RNA, 421 nt
Filed under: Clostridiales bacterium oral taxon 366
Lineage: Bacteria; Bacillati; Bacillota; Clostridia; Eubacteriales
Description: bacterial SSU rRNA
Rfam family: Bacterial small subunit ribosomal RNA
Source: RNAcentral
GAUGAACGCUGGCGGCAUGCCUAACACAUGCAAGUCGAACGGGGCUCAGAGAACAGAGGACUUGUCCAAAGUUUUCGAAAGCCUAGUGGCGGACGGGUGAGUAACACGUGAGCAACCUGCCUUGGACUGGGGAAUAACUGUGGGAAACCAUAGCUAAUACCGCAUAAAGUCACGAGAGGACAUCCUUUUGUGACCAAAGGAGCAAUCCGGUCUUAGAUGGGCUCGCGUCCGAUUAGAUCGUUGGUGAGGUAACGGCUCACCAAGUCUGCGAUCGGUAGCCGGACUGAGAGGUUGAACGGCCACAUUGGGACUGAGACACGGCCCAGACUCCUACGGGAGGCAGCAGUGGGGAAUAUUGGGCAAUGGGCGAAAGCCUGACCCAGCAAUGCCGCGUGAAGGACGAAGGUCUUCGGAUUGUAAA